Molecule: ribosomal RNA, 497 nt
Filed under: uncultured bacterium
Lineage: Bacteria
Description: partial 16S ribosomal RNA
Rfam family: Bacterial small subunit ribosomal RNA
Source: RNAcentral
GAUGAACGCUGGCGGCGUGCCUAAUACAUGCAAGUCGAGCGAACAGACGAGGAGCUUGCUCCUCUGACGUUAGCGGCGGACGGGUGAGUAACACGUGGAUAACCUACCUAUAAGACUGGGAUAACUUCGGGAAACCGGAGCUAAUACCGGAUAAUAUAUUGAACCGCAUGGUUCAAUAGUGAAAGACGGUUUUGCUGUCACAUAUAGAUGGAUCCGCGCCGCAUUAGCUAGUUGGUAAGGUAACGGCUUACCAAGGCAACGAUGCGUAGCCGACCUGAGAGGGUGAUCUGCCACACUGGAACUGAGACACGGCCCAGACUCCUACGGGAGGCAGCAGUAGGGAAUCUUCCGCAAUGGGCGAAAGCCUGACGGAGCAACGCCGCGUGAGUGAUGAAGGGCUUCGGAUCGUAAAACUCUGUUAUUAUGGAAGAACAAAUGUGUAAGUAACGAUGCACGUCUUGACGGUACCUAAUCAGAAAGCCACGGCUAACUACGUG